Molecule: ribosomal RNA, 468 nt
Filed under: uncultured bacterium
Lineage: Bacteria
Description: partial 16S ribosomal RNA
Rfam family: Bacterial small subunit ribosomal RNA
Source: RNAcentral
GACGAACGCUGGCGGCGUGCUUAACACAUGCAAGUCGAACGGAAAGGCCCUGCUUUUGUGGGGUGCUCGAGUGGCGAACGGGUGAGUAACACGUGAGUAACCUGCCCUUGACUUUGGGAUAACUUCAGGAAACUGGGGCUCAUACCGGAUAGGAGCUCCUGCUGCAUGGUGGGGGUUGGAAAGUUUCGGCGGUUGGGGAUGGACUCGCGGCUUAUCAGCUUGUUGGUGGGGUAGUGGCUUACCAAGGCUUUGACGGGUAGCCGGCCUGAGAGGGUGACCGGCCACAUUAGGACUGAGAUACGGCCCAGACUCCUACGGGAGGCAGCAGUGGGGAAUAUUGCACAAUGGGCGGAAGCCUGAUGCAGCAACGCCGCGUGCGGGAUGACGGCCCUCGGGUUGUAAACCGCUUUCGCCUGUGACGAAGCGUGAGUGACGGUAAUGGGUAAAGAAGCACCGGCUAACUACGUG